This 792-nucleotide unclassified non-coding RNA is filed under the name Hevea brasiliensis (rubber tree). The record is from RNAcentral. Lineage: Eukaryota; Viridiplantae; Streptophyta; Magnoliopsida; Malpighiales; Euphorbiaceae.
UUUUGCUUUGUGAAUCGCAGGAUGGCCGGCUCAACCACUGCUUCAGCACCUGCGAGCGGGGUGAUCUUAGCAUGGUAUGUCGAAUCCGGAGGACCGACGUUGGUGACCGUCCUAUGCAAAGUCAGCGGUGCGGCAGGCAGUUCACGGAAAAUAGCAGAGAUGGCUGGAUAAUUCAGGUCCCCAGGGGUAGCCAUUGUGUGCUUGCAAGUCUGAUUGGACUUGGUGAACACCUUCAGCUCCAAUGGAGUCAGCUUCUGGGUACAGAGGAACUCGACGUAAUCAGCCGGACUGAUGUCAUAAACCAAACCAGGGUCGAGCGCUUUCAUUGGCCGUAUAUGGCCAGCACCAUGAUCAUAUGGGGUUGAGGGGCUGCCGGUGGCGGCGUCUUUGAGUGGGCGAUAAGUAUUGUCAUGUACAUAGGCAGUUGUCAUGAGAGCCGACUUGAUUGCAGCCGGGCUCCAAUUUGGAUGGCUGGCCUUGAUCAAUGCGGCAAUGCCGGCAACGUGCGGGCAUGACAUCGACGUCCCCGACAAGAUGUUGAAGCCGACGCGCCGGGGAUCACUAGCCAGGCUAGAUGGACUGGUGAGCCCGGUCCAUGCGGCUAGUAUGUUCACUCCCGGAGCCACCAAGUCAGGUUUCAGAACUUCGAGUGUCAAUAUGUUGGGACCUCUGGAGGAGAACGCCGCCACCACCGGUGAUGGCCGGAUACCCACCUUGGUCCCUUGGAAUGAUAGAGUCGCCGUCGGACUCCGGCGAGAACUCAUUUUACUGUAGUCCUUGAUUACAUUGCCG